RNAcentral lists this ribosomal RNA (301 nucleotides) under uncultured bacterium. RNAcentral's name for it is "partial 16S ribosomal RNA". It matches the Rfam family "Bacterial small subunit ribosomal RNA", at positions 509 to 807 of the family's 1533-position model. The record is from RNAcentral.
CAGUCGCCGCGGGAAUACGUAGGGCGCAAGCGUUAUCCGGAAUUAUUGGGCGUAAAGAGCUCGUAGGCGGUUUGUCGCGUCUGCCGUGAAAGUCCGGGGCUCAACCCCGGAUCUGCGGUGGGUACGGGCAGACUAGAGUGAUGUAGGGGAGACUGGAAUUCCUGGUGUAGCGGUGAAAUGCGCAGAUAUCAGGAGGAACACCGAUGGCGAAGGCAGGUCUCUGGGCAUUAACUGACGCUGAGGAGCGAAAGCAUGGGGAGCGAACAGGAUUAGAUACCCGGGUAGUCCCUGUCUCUUAUAC